UUAUAAGUCAGGCGCUAUAACUCGAAUUUAUAUCGUUUCACACAUAGUCUUUAAGUAUGUUCGGUGCAGUGUGAGAUGACGCUCUGAGGUGAAAGCGUGUUCAUUUUUCAUUUUUUCAGCAGCACCUAAGGUGAAAAUGUAUAGCAGCAUCCUCUUUGUAGGAAUCAAUCUCGAGAUGAACUGUUUUUAUAAGCAAAAUGUACGAUUGAACUCGUCCAGAAAUGCCGACCGGUUGUGGCCCGGUUUGGACUAAUUCUUUAAACGUUUACCACCGUUUUAAGUGUGACCAUCUGCAGAAGCAAGUUACAAAAUCCUAUUUCCUCGCGGUAUUUGUAAAGCGCAUUUGCCAAGAUAGAGAAGAUGACAUUUGAAGGAGAAGCAUCAAUCAGUCACCGAGAAAAAGGAUGGAAACGACGUCAAUACUCACCGGUAUUCCCACCGUCAUCUUUCCUACGAAGUGUACAAAUGUUCCUUAGCUGGAACAACACCUACGGGAACGAAUUCGGUGGUGGUGGUCUAGUUGCAGUUGGGGACAUUGUUGCAUAUUUUUAAACUCAACUGAUCAAUAACAAUAACAA
Molecule: long non-coding RNA, 578 nt
Organism: Armigeres subalbatus
Lineage: Eukaryota; Metazoa; Arthropoda; Insecta; Diptera; Culicidae
Exons: 3
Source: RefSeq, a predicted model, not a curated record